Molecule: ribosomal RNA, 254 nt
Filed under: uncultured bacterium
Lineage: Bacteria
Description: partial 16S ribosomal RNA
Rfam family: Bacterial small subunit ribosomal RNA
Source: RNAcentral
UACGGGGGGAGCAAGCGUUGUUCGGAUUUACUGGGCGUAAAGGGCGCGUAGGCGGCCAGUGCAAGUCAGUUGUGAAAUCUCCGAGCUUAACUCGGAAAGGUCAACUGAUACUGCUCGGCUAGAGUGCGGAAGGGGCAACUGGAAUUCCACGUGUAGCAGUGAAAUGCGUAGAGAUGUGGAGGAACACCGAUGGCGAAGGCAGCCUCCUGGGCCAGCACUGACGCUCAUGCACGAAAGCGUGGGGAUCAAACAGG